CUCCCACCCGGCCAAAGCCCGGCUCUUACCUCUGCGGCCGCCACCCUCCGGGGGGACUGCGCAACACCGCUCGCUGCCCGGCAAGCGAACCGCGGCGCGCGGGAGAUGCGCAGCAGCUGCGGACGCCGGCCCGGCGGCAGUCGCCGCCGCUUCCCGGGCGUGUGAGCUCAGCCCGCCCGCGCGGCCGCGCUUCCCACUCCCGGCGUCCUUCGCGGCGCCACCCAGCGGCCGCGUCCAGCACCGCACGCUCGAGUCCGGGAAAAUUCUGCCGCAGCCUUGCCGAAGGAUUUGGAAAUUCCCAGAAUUUGCCACUGUUUCCUCCUCCUGAAAUAUCUCCAGCAGACCCCAAGCCCACAUUUCUGCCUGAAGAAAUUCCACCUGUGCUUUCAGGCCAGUACAAAAGCCUCUUCAAGUGCCAUCUGUGACCUCUGUUUUCUGGGACUAGUUACUGAGCUCUCUGUGAGAGCCUCUGCUACCUGGCCAACCCUUUUAGACAUCCUGAGCAAACAGCUUGAAGUGGAGGUUUUAAAGAUGCAGCCAACACUCCAAAGCAAGAGAAAGCCUGUCUUAUCUUCCCAAAGAGAGAGCCUCUGCUCCAUUGCCAGGUAGGAAACCAGAAAACACUCUUGGCUGCCAUUCCCCCUC
This 645-nucleotide long non-coding RNA is filed under the name Urocitellus parryii (Arctic ground squirrel). RNAcentral's name for it is "lncRNA (ENSUPAG00010016346.1)". The record is from RNAcentral. Lineage: Eukaryota; Metazoa; Chordata; Mammalia; Rodentia; Sciuridae.